UGGGGGAUUUUGCACAAUGGGCGCAAGCCUGAUGCAGCGACGCCGCGUGAGGGAUGAAGGCCUUCGGGUUGUAAACCUCUUUCGCUGGGUUGAAAGGCCAUGCUUUGGGUGUGGUUGAUUUGAACUGGUAAAGAAGUACCGGCUAACUACGUGCCAGCAGCCGCGGUAAUACGUAGGGUACUAGCGUUGUCCGGAUUUAUUGGGCGUAAAGGGCUUGUAGGUGGUUUGUCGCGUCUGUCGUGAAAUCCUGUGGCUUAACCAUGGGCUUGCGGUGGGUACGGGCAGGCUUGAGUGCGGUAGGGGAGAAUGGAAUUCCUGGUGUAGCGGUGGAAUGCGCAGAUAUCAGGAGGAACACCGGUGGCGAAGGCGGGUCUCUGGGCCGUUACUGACACUGAGGAGCGAAAGCGUGGGGAGCGAACAGG
RNAcentral lists this ribosomal RNA (422 nucleotides) under Fusobacteriota bacterium. RNAcentral describes it as "Fusobacteria bacterium partial 16S ribosomal RNA". It matches the Rfam family "Bacterial small subunit ribosomal RNA", at positions 355 to 776 of the family's 1533-position model. The record is from RNAcentral. Lineage: Bacteria; Fusobacteriati; Fusobacteriota.